Molecule: ribosomal RNA, 493 nt
Filed under: uncultured bacterium
Lineage: Bacteria
Description: partial 16S ribosomal RNA
Rfam family: Bacterial small subunit ribosomal RNA
Source: RNAcentral
AUUGAACGCUGGCGGCAUGCCUUACACAUGCAAGUCGAACGGUAACAGGUUAAGCUGACGAGUGGCGAACGGGUGAGUAAUAUAUCGGAACGUGCCCAGGCGUGGGGGAUAACGUAGCGAAAGCUACGCUAAUACCGCAUACGAUCUACGGAUGAAAGCGGGGGAUGGCAAGACCUCGCGCGAUUGGAGCGGCCGAUAUCAGAUUAGGUUGUUGGUGAGGUAAAAGCUCACCAAGCCUGCGAUCUGUAGCUGGUCUGAGAGGACGACCAGCCACACUGGAACUGAGACACGGUCCAGACUCCUACGGGAGGCAGCAGUGGGGAAUUUUGGACAAUGGACGCAAGUCUGAUCCAGCAAUGCCGCGUGCAGGACGAAGGCCUUCGGGUUGUAAACUGCUUUUGUACGGAACGAAACGGUGAGCUCUAAUACAGUUUGCUAAUGACGGUACCGUAAGAAUAAGCACCGGCUAACUACGUGCCAGCCGCCGCAGUAA